This 213-nucleotide long non-coding RNA is filed under the name Monodelphis domestica (gray short-tailed opossum). Its description in RNAcentral is "lncRNA (ENSMODG00000034740.2)". Lineage: Eukaryota; Metazoa; Chordata; Mammalia; Didelphimorphia; Didelphidae. The record is from RNAcentral.
CAGGUGCUCAUGGACUUCCUCAACCUGGAACAUCCCUCUGCAAGUUCUUUCCCUUUUUCUCUUUAGUGAGUUUCUCCUGGAGCCUGCAUUUUGUGGAGGGCUCAAAAAGAAAACUGAGGGAGGUCGAAGACUGCUACUAUUUCCCAAAGGUAAGGCAACACACAUUCCCAACUGCUCUUCCUUUUUUCAUUUGUUAGUCCAACAAACCUUUUU